RNAcentral lists this long non-coding RNA (235 nucleotides) under Lathyrus oleraceus (garden pea). RNAcentral describes it as "Pisum sativum (pea) long non-coding RNA (PSAT_LNC028360)". Lineage: Eukaryota; Viridiplantae; Streptophyta; Magnoliopsida; Fabales; Fabaceae. The record is from RNAcentral.
GGUGCGACCCAUGGCGAUGAGAUGAAGGAAGAUUGAGGAGUUUGUUGAAUUGUAGGGUUUGUUUUUAUUUUGAGUUUUCUGUGUUUAUUACUGCUGUUGUUGAAUUUUGAAUUUUGGUUUAUUAAAAUUGUCUUGUUAAUUGCAUGAAUACUCUGUGAAAUUUAAGUGUGUUACAAUGAAUUUGGUUUACCAACCUUUUUGUUUAAUUGUUCUUACUCUUAAGUCAAGCUUAAAG